CAGUAGCCGCGGGAAUACGUAGGUGGCAAGCGUUGUCCGGAAUUAUUGGGCGUAAAGGGCUCGCAGGCGGUUUCUUAAGUCUGAUGUGAAAGCCCCCGGCUCAACCGGGGAGGGUCAUUAGAAACUGGGAAACUUGAGUGCAGAAGAGGAGAGUGGAAUUCCACGUGUAGCGGUGAAAUGCGUAGAGAUGUGGAGGAACACCAGUGGCGAAGGCGACUCUCUGGUCUGUAACUGACGCUGAGGAGCGAAAGCGUGGGGAGCGAACAGGAUUAGAUACCCGGGUAGUCCCUGUCUCUUAUAC
RNAcentral lists this ribosomal RNA (301 nucleotides) under uncultured bacterium. Its description in RNAcentral is "partial 16S ribosomal RNA". It matches the Rfam family "Bacterial small subunit ribosomal RNA", at positions 509 to 807 of the family's 1533-position model. The record is from RNAcentral.